This 442-nucleotide ribosomal RNA is filed under the name uncultured bacterium. Its description in RNAcentral is "bacterial SSU rRNA". It matches the Rfam family "Bacterial small subunit ribosomal RNA", at positions 337 to 796 of the family's 1533-position model. The record is from RNAcentral.
UCCUACGGGUGGCAGCAGUGGGGAAUCUUGCACAAUGGGGGAAACCCUGAUGCAGCGACGCCGCGUGAGCGAUGAAGCCCCUCGGGGUGUAAAGCUCUUUCGGCAGGAACGAUAAUGACGGUACCUGCAGAAGAAGCUGCGGCUAACUACGUGCCAGCAGCCGCGGUAAUACGUAGGCAGCGAGCGUUGUUCGGAGUUACUGGGCGUAAAGAGUGUGUAGGCGGUUUGCCAAGUUCGGUGUGAAAUCUCCCGGCUUAACUGGGAGGGUGCGCCGAAUACUGGCAGGCUAGAGGGCGGGAGAGGAGAGCGGAAUUCCUGGUGUAGCGGUGAAAUGCGUAGAUAUCAGGAGGAACACCUGCGGUGUAGACGGCUCUCUGGACCGUUUCUGACGCUGAGACACGAAAGCGUGGGUAGCAAACAGGAUUAGAUACCCGGGUAGUCC